AUUGAACGCUGGCGGAAUGCUUUACACAUGCAAGUCGAGCGGCAGCGCGGGGCAACCUGGCGGCGAGCGGCGAACGGGUGAGUAAUGCAUCGGAACAUGUCCAUGUCGUGGGGGAUAGCCCGGCGAAAGCCGGAUUAAUACCGCAUACGCCCGAGAGGGGAAAGUGGGGACCGCAAGGCCUCACGCGAUUGGGUUGGCCGAUGUCCGAUUAGCUAGUUGGCGGGGUAANGGCCCACCAAGGCGAUGAUCGGUAGCUGGUCUGAGAGGAUGAUCAGCCACACUGGGACUGAGACACGGCCCAGACUCCUACGGGAGGCAGCAGUGGGGAAUUUUGGACAAUGGGGGCAACCCUGAUCCAGCCAUUCCGCGUGAGUGAAGAAGGCCUGG
This 387-nucleotide ribosomal RNA is filed under the name uncultured bacterium. RNAcentral's name for it is "bacterial SSU rRNA". It matches the Rfam family "Bacterial small subunit ribosomal RNA", at positions 28 to 419 of the family's 1533-position model. The record is from RNAcentral.